GAUCCUGGCUCAGGAUGAACGCUAGCUACGGGCUUAACACAUGCAAGUCGAGGGGCAGCAUGAACUUAGCUUGCUAAGUUUGAUGGCGACCGGCGCACGGGUGAGUAACACGUAUCCAACCUGCCGACGACUCGGGGAUAGCCUUUCGAAAGAAAGAUUAAUACCCGAUGGCAUAGUUCUUCCGCAUGGUAGAACUAUUAAAGAAUUUCGGUCAUCGAUGGGGAUGCGUUCCAUUAGGUUGUUGGG
Molecule: ribosomal RNA, 246 nt
Filed under: uncultured bacterium
Lineage: Bacteria
Description: partial 16S ribosomal RNA
Rfam family: Bacterial small subunit ribosomal RNA
Source: RNAcentral